UGCAUUGACCUAUAUGUCUAACUUUAUGCCCGUACCACUCUGUCCUGAUUGCUAUAACUUUGUAGUAUGUUUAGAAAUUGAGAAGUAUGAGUCCUUUAACUUUAAUCUUCUUUUUCAAGUUUGUUACAAGUUCCCUGGA
Non-coding RNA from Ceratotherium simum simum (southern white rhinoceros), 139 nucleotides. Lineage: Eukaryota; Metazoa; Chordata; Mammalia; Perissodactyla; Rhinocerotidae. The record is from RefSeq and is a predicted model, not a curated record.